This 22-nucleotide microRNA is filed under the name Pteropus alecto (black flying fox). Its description in RNAcentral is "pal-miR-665-5p". Its record names the gene pal-miR-665-5p. Lineage: Eukaryota; Metazoa; Chordata; Mammalia; Chiroptera; Pteropodidae. The record is from miRBase by way of RNAcentral.
AGGGGUCUUAGCCUCUACCCAG